GAAUCCAUCCACUGUAGAAGUUCGGAUGGAGUUCGAUUCUUGUAGGAGUCUGAAAGGAGGCCGUUUACUGUAGAAGCUCGGAUAGAGAUCGGUUGCCAUGGAAGCCCAGAUGGAGACAGCUUAUUCUAAAAGCUCGGCUGAAAUUCAAAAGGCGGUCAACCACUGUAGAAACUUGGAUGGAGUCUGGUUAUUGUAGAAGUCCUGCUGCUGGAGAAGCCCGAACAUUGAUGAAGUUCAGAAGAAGCUCGAAGUAAAGUCGAUCAUGACAGGAGGAAGUCUGGAAG
Molecule: long non-coding RNA, 284 nt
Filed under: Elaeis guineensis (African oil palm)
Lineage: Eukaryota; Viridiplantae; Streptophyta; Magnoliopsida; Arecales; Arecaceae
Description: long non-coding RNA (EGUI_LNC079697)
Source: RNAcentral